This is a long non-coding RNA of Octopus bimaculoides (California two-spot octopus), 520 nucleotides long. Lineage: Eukaryota; Metazoa; Mollusca; Cephalopoda; Octopoda; Octopodidae. The record is from RefSeq and is a predicted model, not a curated record.
UUUUUCCAGGCAUUGCUGUUAUCAGAUAAUUAAUAAUGUGUCAAUUAAUAAUUUAAGAUUUUAAUUUAUAAUAUACUGAAAGAUAAUAUUCCAAUUUUUCCAUAAGAGGGUAAAGAUCCCUUUCAGUCAUGAAUUACCAUGGAAUUGCAUCUAGAAAUUUACCCACUGAGGUACAAGUCCAGACAAGCUUGUUAGUGGGAGACCAGCAGUUGCCCAUGCAUACCAACCUCCUCUCUCCACGCCACUGAUGUUAUCCAAGGGAAAAGCAAAGGCCGAUACAAUUUGGCAUCAGUGACGUUGCAACUCAUUUUUACAGCUGAGUGAACUGGAGCAACGUGAAAAUGAUGUGUCUUGCUUAAGAACACAACACACGUGUUGGUCCAAGAAUUGAACUCAUUACCUCAUGAUUGUGAGCCUGACACUCUAAUCACUGAGCCAUGGCAUCAAAAAUUAAUGGUUUGCCAUAUAUGUUCCUGUUAAUUAUCUUUUUGAAUAAAGAGUACAAGCUUAUAUGUUGAAA